AUUGAACGCUGGCGGCAGGCCUAACACAUGCAAGUCGAGCGUGAAAGUCCUUCGGGAUGAGUAAAGCGGCGGACGGGUGAGUAACGCGUAGGAAUUUACCUAAUAGUGGGGGAUAACGUUUCGAAAGGAACGCUAAUACCGCAUACGUUCUGAGGAAGAAAGCAGGGGCUCGCAAGACCUUGCGCUAUUAGAUGAGCCCUGCGUCCAAUUAGCUAGUUGGUGGGGUAAAGCCUACCAAGGCGACGAUCGGUAACUGGUCUGAGAGGAUGAUCAGUCACACUGGAACUGAGACACGGUCCAGACUCCUACGGGAGGCAGCAGUGGGGAAUAUUGGGACAAUGGGGGCAACCCUGA
RNAcentral lists this ribosomal RNA (354 nucleotides) under uncultured bacterium. RNAcentral's name for it is "bacterial SSU rRNA". It matches the Rfam family "Bacterial small subunit ribosomal RNA", at positions 30 to 386 of the family's 1533-position model. The record is from RNAcentral.